UACAGAGGUGGCAAGCGUUGUUCGGAAUUACUGGGCGUAAAGGGCGCGUAGGCGGCCAUCUAAGUCAGACGUGAAAUCCCCCGGCUUAACCUGGGAACUGCGUCUGAUACUGGACGGCUCGAGUGCGGGAGAGGGAUGUGGAAUUCCAGGUGUAGCGGUGAAAUGCGUAGAUAUCUGGAGGAACACCGGUGGCGAAGGCGGCAUCCUGGACCGACACUGACGCUGAGGCGCGAAAGCUAGGGUAGCAAACGGG
RNAcentral lists this ribosomal RNA (253 nucleotides) under uncultured bacterium. RNAcentral's name for it is "partial 16S ribosomal RNA". It matches the Rfam family "Bacterial small subunit ribosomal RNA", at positions 524 to 776 of the family's 1533-position model. The record is from RNAcentral.